AUGGUGGAGGGGCAGCUCCUGGGGCUCGAUGGCCGAGGCCAUCUCCUGGGUCACUUGGCAGCCAUCACGGCCAAACAGGUACUGCUGGGCUGGAAGGUGGUGGUUGUGUGCUGUGAGGGCAUCAAUAUUUCUGGCAAUUUCUACACAAACAAGCUAAAGUACUUGGCCUUCUUCCGCAAACAGGUGAACACCAACUCUUCCCAUGGCCCUACCAUUUCUGGGCCCCCAGCCACAUUUUCUGACACACUGUGUGAGGCAUGCUGCCCCGCAAGACUAAGCGAGGCCAGGCUGCCCCGGACCGCCCCAAGGUGUUUGAUGGGAUCCCACCGCCCUAUGACAAGAAAAAGCGGAUGGCGGUUCCUGCUGCCUUCAAGGUUGUGCAUCUGAAGCCUACGAGAAAGUUUGCCUACCUGGGGCACCUGGCUCACGAGGUUGGCUAGAAGUAGCAGACAGUGACGGCUACAGGAAGAAAAAGCAGCUCAUGAGGCUACGGAAACAGUCUGAAAAGAACGUGGAGAAUAAAAUUGACAAAUACACAGAGGUCCUCAAGACCCAUGGAAUCCUGGUCUGAGUCCAAGAAAGACUUUAUUCCUCA
This is an RNA transcript of Lemur catta (Ring-tailed lemur), 595 nucleotides long. It is a transcript of the gene named 60S ribosomal protein L13a-like, with no coding region annotated. The record is from RefSeq and is a predicted model, not a curated record. The transcript has a single exon. NCBI's taxonomy places the organism in Eukaryota, Metazoa, Chordata, Mammalia, Primates, Lemuridae.